UAUGUGAUCGUCUCUCGCAUAUCAAUAAGCGGAGGAAAAGAAACUAACAAGGAUUCCCCUAGUAACGGCGAGUGAAGCGGGAAGAGCUCAAAUUUGAAAUCUUAAAGGGUUUCCCUUUACGAAUUGUAGUUUAAAGAAGUGUUUUCUGUUGAGGUUUUGGUAAAAGUUCUUUGGAAUAGGACAUCAUAGAGGGUGAGAAUCCCGUAUUUGACCUUUACUUUCAACUUUGUGAUACACUUUCAAAGAGUCGGAUUGUUUGGGAAUGCAGUCCAAAAUGGGUGGUAAAUUUCAUCUAAAGCUAAAUAUUGGCGAGAGACCGAUAGCGAACAAGUACCGUGAGGGAAAGAUGAAAAGAACUUUGAAAAGAGAGUUAAACAGUACGUGAAAUUGUCAAAAGGGAAGCGUUUGACACCAGUGUUGUUUUUCUGAAAAUCAAUUAAAGAACUGUUUAUGCUAAGCUGUUUAGACUUUAUCAGCUAUCUGUUUAGUUUUGAGCUAUUUCUUUAAUGCACUUUUCAGUUAACAAGUCAACAUCAAUUUCUUUUGCUGUAAAAAAGCUUGAGGAAGGUGGCUUGAGAUUCGUCUUAAGUGUUUAUAGCCUCUUGCCUAUGCAGUCGGAGAGAUUGAGGUCUGCAGCGUAGAUCCUUCGGGGCUAAAUGCAUUUGUGUUAAGUUAUAGCAUUUUAUAGACAACUUGUUGACUAUGAUUUGUCUUGUAGCUUACUCGCUUAUGUUAUUUUACCUACGCUUAGGAUGUUGAGUAGCGACAUACGCACACACGCGCGGCAUAUCAAUAAGCGGAGGAAAAGGAGUAUACCUACGCUUAGGAUGUUGAGUAGCGACAUACGCAC
RNAcentral lists this ribosomal RNA (850 nucleotides) under uncultured Neocallimastigales. RNAcentral describes it as "partial large subunit ribosomal RNA". It matches the Rfam family "Eukaryotic large subunit ribosomal RNA", at positions 24 to 649 of the family's 3401-position model. Lineage: Eukaryota; Fungi; Neocallimastigomycota; Neocallimastigomycetes; Neocallimastigales. The record is from RNAcentral.